CAUAAGGUAGUUUAGUUAAAAUAUUAACAUUGGAAGUUAAAGAUUGAGUAUGAUUCUUACCUUUUGA
This 67-nucleotide transfer RNA is filed under the name Histioteuthis reversa. Its description in RNAcentral is "tRNA-Pro". The record is from RNAcentral. Lineage: Eukaryota; Metazoa; Mollusca; Cephalopoda; Oegopsida; Histioteuthidae.